Molecule: ribosomal RNA, 274 nt
Filed under: uncultured bacterium
Lineage: Bacteria
Description: partial 16S ribosomal RNA
Rfam family: Bacterial small subunit ribosomal RNA
Source: RNAcentral
CUAAGUUUGAUGGCGACCGGCGCACGGGUGAGUAACACGUAUCCAACCUGCCGAUAACUCGGGGAUAGCCUUUCGAAAGAAAGAUUAAUACCCGAUGGCAUAAUAGAACCGCAUGGUUGAUUAUUAAAGAAUUUCGGUUAUCGAUGGGGAUGCGUUCCAUUAGGCAGUUGGUGGGGUAACGGCCCACCAAACCUUCGAUGGAUAGGGGUUCUGAGAGGAAGGUCCCCCACAUUGGAACUGAGACACGGUCCAAACUCCUACGGGAGGCAGCAUG